UUGUACUGCUUUAUUUGAAACAUGAGCUCUUUUUAAGUACAUGGUUUUCAGUGUAUUGUUUUAUGCAGAUUACAGGUUAAUUUACAACUCAGCUGUUAGCCUCUAUUGUUAGUUUUUUUAUUGACAUGAAGUGAUAGUGCUGGGGACUUGCUAGUGUGUCUGGUAAGGCUUAAUUAAUUAUUGAUGGACCUAGCAUUAUUCAAACUGGGUGUUCUUCACAAAGUUUACAAAUGUAUUAAAUAGUCGAGAAGUGAAACAACAAGAAAAAAGUUCUAGAAUGAAAUUUUCACUCUACAGCGGAGUGGGUGCUGAUAUGAAACUUCCUGGCAGAUUAAAACUGUGUGCCAGACCGAGAGUCGAACUCGGGACCUUUCCCUUUCGCGGGCAAGUGCUCGCAGGAGAGCUUCUGUAAAGUUUGGAAGAUAGGAGGCGAGGUACUGGCAGAAGUAAAGCCGUGAGGAGGGGCUGUGAGUCCUGCUUGGUUAGCUCAGUUGGUAGAGCACUUGCUCGUGAAAGGCAAAGGUCCCGAGUUCGAGUCUCGGUACGUCACACAGUUUUAAUCUGCCAGGAAGUUUCAGGAAAAGAGUUAUCCAAAAGUUUCAAAAUGUUGAUGUUUAUUUGCUAAUUUAGUAUCUACAUUGGCAUGACAACACUGCUAUACUAUACUUUCAGUGUAGGUGUUUCACUGGCCAUAGGUGGCUUCAUAACAGCCAUGGAACGGAACCCUGUGAGGGAAAAGAAAAUUCGACAUGGGAAUCGGUCUACAGGAAGCAGAAAUACAUGAAAUGUUUUCACAGUUGUGAAUAUGAAAAACAGUCAGCUAUAUAAGGGAAUGACAACAAUGAAAAUUUGUGCCAGACUGGGACUCAAACCCAGUUUCUCCACUUUACGCAAGCUGUUGCCUUAAGCAGUUUGGCUAUCCACGCACGACUCACAGGCAGACCCAAACUUCCAUAUGUCAUCAUUCCUUCGUCACAACCCUUAAUCUGUGGUUUCCUAGCUGCGGGAGUUUCCCACGGCGUGCUGCGUAAAAUGCAUGCGAGACCCCACUGCCCACUCACACAUUGCAAACGUACGGGACCGUUUUCCUAGGGUGGGGACAACGCAGUGCCCCAGUGGGCUCCGCCUGCAAGAAACACUAUGCUUCGGGAGGAGCCCAUCCCACACGUUGCAAUGAUUUACUUGGCCGGAGGAGUGGGUGUUGUCAAACUGGGCAGCAGCGAGACGACAGCUGCACUGUUUGUUUCGCGUGCACAGGUAACAACAGACAAUUUUUAAGAGAACUGUUAUAGAAACAAUCACCAAAAAUGUUGGCUGACCGCUUCUCUGCCUCAGAGGAUAAGCAACUUAUUGAACUGGAUUCUAAAAAGCAAAUUUUUGGAAUAUGGCCAACACCGAGUGGAAAAAUCAAAUGAAAAAGGAUUUAAUUUGGGCAAAAAUCGGAAGAAAAAUGAGUAAAUCGAGUGUGAAGUGCAAAAGGUGAUGGAGAAACAUCUGAGAUCAUUUUAGGAGAUACAGAAACUAGAAAGGUCUGCGACAAGUGGCUCAGUAACCACGAAGAAAAGAGCUGUGUACCGGGACAGGCUUCAAUUCCUUAAUAGCGUGGAGGUUGAAAGGAAAAUGUUUUCCUAACAGUGUGCAACAGGAACUCGUUAGGGAAAGACUUGAAGAUCGACAGACUUCUUCCAAAUUUAUCGACUGAGGACGAAACUGGUUUGUUCCUCAAAUCCAUGGCAGCAACAGUAAAAAAAUUUAGACCCAACCUUAUUUGCAAAGCCAAAAAACAGAUUUGAAAUACUGUGAUGGACAUAUAAACCAUAAAUCAGAGAGAUCAAGGAUAUGGCAACAACUCCACAUUUCGGAACGCAAACAGCAGCCAUCCUGCUUCUAUCCAAAGUGCUGACAGUGAGCAAGGACCUAGGAACUAUGACAAUACUGUCACUGCUGCAAACUUUGAUACCUAUAAAACAUCGCAAAUCCAGUACCACACCAGAACGACUACAGUAUUGCACAAUCAAACAUUCUCUGCCACCACCCUCUAUUUUCUGGGAUGGUUACUAAGGGUAGGCCAUGGCCAGUAGCCAAGUUCAUUAUAUUAUAUUUUACCAUUUGUGCCAAAUUAAUGUGUCUGGUUACAUUAACGUUAUGGAACUGUCAGUAGUAGUAUCAUAGAUACACUUUAAGAAAAUGAAAUGAGUUGCACUCCACUGUGAAAACCCACUGUCAUAAAAUGUUUUUUUGGAGUAGAUGACAAUUGUAUGUUGUGUGUUGGAGUAAUUGUUGUAACAAAUGUGAUUUUUUUAAUAUGACAUGUUAAA
This is a long non-coding RNA of Schistocerca nitens (vagrant locust), 2318 nucleotides long. RefSeq lists it as uncharacterized. The transcript is spliced from 3 exons. The record is from RefSeq and is a predicted model, not a curated record. Lineage: Eukaryota; Metazoa; Arthropoda; Insecta; Orthoptera; Acrididae.